Molecule: ribosomal RNA, 385 nt
Filed under: uncultured bacterium
Lineage: Bacteria
Description: bacterial SSU rRNA
Rfam family: Bacterial small subunit ribosomal RNA
Source: RNAcentral
AUUGAACGCUGGCGGAAUGCUUUACACAUGCAAGUCGAACGGCAGCACGGGGCAACCUGGUGGCGAGUGGCGAACGGGUGAGUAAUAUAUCGGAACGUGCCCAAUCGUGGGGGAUAACGUAGCGAAAGUUACGCUAAUACCGCAUACGAUCUACGGAUGAAAGCGGGGGAUCGCAAGACCUCGCGCGAAUGGAGCGGCCGAUAUCAGAUUAGGUAGUUGGUGGGGUAAAGGCUCACCAAGCCAACGAUCUGUAGCUGGUCUGAGAGGACGACCAGCCACACUGGAACUGAGACACGGUCCAGACUCCUACGGGAGGCAGCAGUGGGGAAUUUUGGACAAUGGGCGCAAGCCUGAUCCAGCCAUUCCGCGUGCAGGAUGAAGGCCU